CUCCUCUUUUCUUCUUCUUCCUCUCCUCUUUUUUAAGCCCCGAUCUAUUUCUUACCAUGUUCUCGAUAAUGGGUGGGUGGCAAUUUUGAACUUCACUGCGAUAGGGAAGAUGGGGAGGCUUCUGUGACCUUGACAGGAGAGUGGGGCUUGGUUUGCAGUGGUGAUCGGGACUUAGCCAAAUCAAACCACAUUGCCUAUGCCUCUUACAUGAAGGGAAGGAAAAAUGAAGGGGCCUGAUCUCAACCUUUUCAAAGCUAAAUUGGAGGUUAAGGGGAGGGUGUUUUAUUUAUAGCCUCUAUGGCAUGAGGAAAGAAAGAAACUACGUGGGCAUUUCGGCUUGAUUUAAUCCUCAUUGUCCUACUAUUUUAAUUUAGUUGUUUUCAUUAUAGGAUACCAUAGCUGAGAUUAGAUAUCAACAAGUUGCAUCCAGGGGCGAACCCACAGUGGGUCCUGGUGGGUCGCGUGACCCACCAAGUUUGAUUUUUUUCAAUAUGAAUAUAUCAGAUUAUAGUCCUAUUACAGCUGCAAAUUUGAAAAGGAAAUCCCACCAACCGUCCCAUAAUGUCUGCCUCACUUGAACCCUUCCUUAAUUUCCUUCUUGCCUUGAGUGUUGCCGGCAAUUGGAGCCACUAUCAGACUCAAAGUCAUCUGUCAUCCACCAUCCGGUUGUGCGGCCGAUUCAGUCGAAUGAUGCUGCUGCCGUUUCAACCAUGCGUGGCCUACCUCCCAUCUUUGAUAGUUGCCACUGCCAUUUGCCACCAUAGCCGUCCGCUUCCCAAAAACCCAACUUUAGUACAAAUUCUACACACGUUGGUCUUUAAAUUAUUUUAUGUUUUGAACUUUGAUUUUACUUACAUCUCUUGAUCUCUAGUUGAAAGCACAUUUGGAAAAAUGGCAACUUCUUUUAGAGGAUGGGGUUCAUAAUAGUAGCCCUUUUUU
This is a long non-coding RNA of Olea europaea var. sylvestris, 939 nucleotides long. RefSeq lists it as uncharacterized. The record is from RefSeq and is a predicted model, not a curated record. Lineage: Eukaryota; Viridiplantae; Streptophyta; Magnoliopsida; Lamiales; Oleaceae. The transcript has 3 exons.